CAGUUCCUUGUAUCUGUGUUCUGGGAGGGGAAACAAACCUUUGCAGUGUCCUGAGUUACAGACCCUGAGUUACAGAGUGUCUUCAUUACUCUAAAGACCUCGUUGGAUCGCACUAGAGUUUGUGUGAACUAACAGGUGGCUCGGGGUGCUUAUCACAGAUACCACCAGGGAUUGGAGGCUGUGGUGGUUGAGUAAGAAUGGCUCCCAUAGUCUCAUAUUUUUAAAUGUUUAGUCACCAUGAAGUGGCACUAGAAGGAUUGGAAGGUAUGGCCUUGUUGGAGGAAAUGUAUCACUGGGGGUGGCCUUUGAGGUUUCAGAAGUCCACACCGAGCCCAGACUAGCUCUCUCUCUUGACCAGUGGAUCAGUUUGUAGCUCUCAGAUUCUCUCCAGCACUGUGAGUUCCCCUUCUACGAAGAUAAACUAAAUCUCUGGAGCGCAAUGAGAAAUGCCACCAAUGCACCUGUGUGACAACAUUCUGGCAGGAUUCACUGUAUAUGCCUCUUCAUCAGCUGGUCCUGAGCUGAAUGUGUAUCAAGACGGUCACUGAAGCACUUGCUGCCCAGGCAGUAACGCCACAGGCCCUGGUGUGCGAAGGACCCCGACAGCCGGUACUGCAUCCAGUGGUCCGUUGCUGUGGCUACCACCAACAGGAUGGUCCCCACCCAGGCACAGAAGAGGCCGCCACCCAUGAAGCUGUACAUGGCGAUCUGUGGAGAAGGGAGAGCUGGUUUGUGAGUGGGUAUCCUGGACCUGAGAGAGGAGGGUUGGGGUCUGGCCCCCUGGGUUUGAGAAAAAGGCUGGAGAAUGGACAUAAGGACCUAAAGGAGAAGAGGGGGAGUGGACACUCCUGGAUCUGAGGGAAGAGGGUUGAGAAUCUGGUUCUUCAUUCCUGACAGGAAGAUGUCUAAGAGCCUCAAUUCAAAGCUUUGGAGAGAAGGACCUGGGAGCCUAGACUUCUCAGGUAGGGGACUGCAGGUCUCACGCUGGUGCCUACCUGAGUGGCGGAGUCUGUUCUGAGCCCUCCUUCUGCUGAAGCCCCUCUGUGGAGACUGAGCUGAGCCAGGUUGCUGGCAUCUCUGCCUCAUGGUUCCCCCAAAUCCCUUAAGCCUCCCCACACAAUGGCUGCAAGGCCCAGCAGCUUCCAGCAGGCAGAAACACAGUGGCAGCAGAGACCUCAAUGGAAUUUGCUGAAACAGGGGACAAGGGGGCCCCAUCAGCUUGUCUGUGAUCCUACCCAUCUCCCAGGCUUUACUCCUCGUCCCCACUACGGGUAGCCUGAGCUUUGCAGGAAGCAUAGCCCACACAAAAGAGACAGAGCAGCC
Myodes glareolus (Bank vole) is the source of this 1323-nucleotide non-coding RNA. The record is from RefSeq and is a predicted model, not a curated record. Lineage: Eukaryota; Metazoa; Chordata; Mammalia; Rodentia; Cricetidae.